AGAGUUUGAUCCUGGCUCAGGAUGAACGCUGGCGGUAUGCUUAACACAUGCAAGUCGAACGGGGUGCUUCGGCACCUAGUGGCGGACGGGUGAGUAACGCGUGAGAAUCUGCCGAAAGGAUUGGGACAACAGCUGGAAACGGCUGCUAAUACCAGAUAUGCCAAUAAGUGAAAAGGGUAAAACCGCCUUUUGAUGAGCUCGCGUCUGAUUAGCUAGUUGGUGGGGUAAAAGCCUACCAAGGCAUCGAUCAGUAACUGGUCUGAGAGGAUGACCAGUCACACUGGGACUGAGACACGGCCCAGACUCCUACGGGAGGCAGCAGUGGGGAAUUUUCCGCAAUGGGCGAAAGCCUGACGGAGCAAUACCGCGUGAGGGAGGAAGGCUCUUGGGUUGUAAACCUCUUUUCUCAGGGAAGAACAAAAUGACGGUACCUGAGGAAUAAGCAUCGGCUAACUCCGUGCCAGCAGCCGCGGUAAUACGGAGGAUGCAAGCGUUAUCCGGAAUGAUUGGGCGUAAAGCGUCCGCAGGUGGCUUUGCAAGUCUGCUGUCAAAGCUCAGGGCUUAACCCUGAAUCGGCGGUGGAAACUGAAAGGCUAGAGUGCGGUAGGGGCAGAGGGAAUUCCCAGUGUAGCGGUGAAAUGCGUAGAGAUUGGGAAGAACACCAGUGGCGAAAGGCUCUGCUAGACCGCAACUGACACUCAUGGACGAAAGCUAGGGGAGCGAAUGGGAUUAGAUACCCUAGUAGUCC
Molecule: ribosomal RNA, 748 nt
Filed under: uncultured bacterium
Lineage: Bacteria
Description: bacterial SSU rRNA
Rfam family: Bacterial small subunit ribosomal RNA
Source: RNAcentral